This 344-nucleotide unclassified non-coding RNA is filed under the name soil metagenome. Its description in RNAcentral is "partial contains 5.8S ribosomal RNA, internal transcribed spacer 2, and large subunit ribosomal RNA". The stretch from base 1 to 120 matches the Rfam family "5.8S ribosomal RNA", at positions 35 to 154 of the family's 154-position model. The record is from RNAcentral.
GAUGAAGAACGUAGCGAAAUGCGAUACGUAAUGUGAAUUGCAGAAUUCAGUGAAUCAUCGAGUCUUUGAACGCACAUUGCGCCCCCUGGUAUUCCGGGGGGCAUGCCUGUCCGAGCGUCAUUGCUGCCCUCAAGCACGGCUUGUGUGUUGGGCCUCCGUCCUCCUCCCGGGGGACGGGCCCGAAGGGCAGCGGCGGCACCGCGUCCGGUCCUCGAGCGUAUGGGGCUUCGUCACCCGCUCUUGUAGGCCCGGCCGGCGCUUGCCGACACAUCAAUCUUUUUUCCAGGUUGACCUCGGAUCAGGUAGGGAUACCCGCUGAACUUAAGCAUAUCAAUAGCGGAGGA